UGCAAGUCGAACGUGAAGGCAACUUCGGUUGCCUGAAAGUGGCGGACGGGUGAGUAAAACGUAGGUGACCUGCCUUCGAGUGGGGGAUAACCAUUAGAAAUGAUGGCUAAUACCGCAUGGGUUGGGGAAGUAGGGAUACUUCGCCAAUAAAGCUUUGGCGCUCGGAGAGGGGCCUGCGUCCGAUUAGCUAGUUGGUGGGGUAACGGCCUACCAAGGCUAUGAUCGGUAGCUGGUCUGAGAGGACGAUCAGCCACACGGGAACUGAGACACGGUCCCGACUCCUACGGGGGGCAGCAGUGAGGAAUAUUCGGCAAUGGGGGCAACCCUGACCGAGCAACGCCGCGUGGAGGAUGACGGUUUUCGGAUUGUAAACUCCUUUUCUGUGGGAAGAGCAAGGACGGUACCACAGGAAUAAGUCACGGCUAACUACGUGCCAGCAGCCGCGGUAAUACGUAGGUGGCAAGCGUUAUCCGGAAUUACUGGGCGUAAAGCGCACGCAGGUGGUUUGCUAAGUUCGACGUGAAAGCGCCUGGCUUAACUGGGCGAGGUCGUUGGAGACUGGCAGACUUGAGGUGAGGAGAGGGGUGUAGAAUUCCCGGUGUAGUGGUGGAAUGCGUAGAUAUCGGGAGGAAUACCAGUGGCGAAAGCGGCACCCUGGCCUUGGCCUGACACUCAUGUGCGAAAGCGUGGGGAGCAAACGGGAUUAGAUACCCCGGUAGUCCACGCCGUAAACGAUGAAUACUAGGUGUAGGUUGUCUCAAAAUGAUCUGUACCGAAGCUAACGCGAUAAGUAUUCCGCCUGGGGAGUACGGCCGCAAGGCUAAAACUCAAAGGAAUUGACGGGGGCCCGCACAAGCAGCGGAGCGUGUGGUUUAAUUCGAUGCAACGCGAAAAACCUUACCUGGGCUUGACGUGUCUGUAGUAGUGAAGC
This 931-nucleotide ribosomal RNA is filed under the name uncultured Caldilinea sp. RNAcentral describes it as "bacterial SSU rRNA". It matches the Rfam family "Bacterial small subunit ribosomal RNA", at positions 56 to 1004 of the family's 1533-position model. The record is from RNAcentral. Lineage: Bacteria; Bacillati; Chloroflexota; Caldilineae; Caldilineales; Caldilineaceae.